AAAGAUUAGCGGCGAACGGGUGAGUAACGCGUGAGCAACCUGCCUUAGACAAAGGGAUAGCCACUGGAAACGGUGAUUAAUACCAUAUGAAACUAAUAAAUCGCAUGAUUAAGUUAGUUAAAGAAAUUCGGUCUAAGAUGGGCUCGCGUCUGAUUAGCUAGUUGGUGGGAUAAAAGCUCACCAAGGCGACGAUCAGUAGCCGGUCUGAGAGGAUGAACGGCCACACUGGAACUGAGACACGGUCCAG
This 247-nucleotide ribosomal RNA is filed under the name uncultured bacterium. Its description in RNAcentral is "partial 16S ribosomal RNA". It matches the Rfam family "Bacterial small subunit ribosomal RNA", at positions 87 to 334 of the family's 1533-position model. The record is from RNAcentral.